This 21-nucleotide non-coding RNA is filed under the name Caenorhabditis elegans. Lineage: Eukaryota; Metazoa; Nematoda; Chromadorea; Rhabditida; Rhabditidae. The record is from RNAcentral.
UGCAAAUUCUGCCCAAGCAAA